Molecule: ribosomal RNA, 498 nt
Filed under: uncultured bacterium
Lineage: Bacteria
Description: bacterial SSU rRNA
Rfam family: Bacterial small subunit ribosomal RNA
Source: RNAcentral
GACGAACGCUGGCGGCGUGGAUUAGGCAUGCAAGUCGAACGGUAGGAUACCUUCGGGUAUCUGAGAGUGGCGAACGGGUGAGUAACACGUAGGUGAUCUACCCUCAAGAUUGGGACAACCCAGGGAAACUUGGGCUAAUACCGGAUGAAAGCAGCAGUGAUGUUGUUUGAAAGGUGGCGUAAGCUGCCGUUUGGGGAUGAGCCUGCGCUCUAUUAGUUAGUUGGCGGGGUAAAGGCCCACCAAGGCGAUGAUAGAUAGGCGGCCUUAACGGGUGGUCGCCCACACUGGGAUUGAGAUACGGCCCAGACUCCUACGGGAGGCAGCAGUCGAGAAUAGUCUACAAUGGCCGAAAGGCUGAUAGUGCGACGCCGCGUGAACGAAGAAGCCCUUCGGGGUGUAAAGUUCUUUUAUAUGUGAGUAGUGCUUUCUAUGUGAACAGCAUGGGGAGAGAGAUAUUAGCAUAUGAAUAAGCAACGGCUAACUCCGUGCCAGCAGCCG